GAGUUUGAUCCUGGCUCAGAAUCAACGCUGGCGGCGUGCCUAACACAUGCAAGUCGAGCGAGAGGAAGUAGCAAUACUUUAGUAAAGCGGCGCACGGGUGAGUAACACGUGGAUAACCUGCCUCGAAGUGGGGAAUAACCCCGGGAAACCGGAGCUAAUACCGCAUAUUCUGACGAGAUCUGCGGAUUUUGUCAGGAAAGGAGCAAUUCGCUUUGAGAGGGGUCCGCGGCUGAUUAGCUAGUUGGUGAGGUAAUGGCUCACCAAGGCCACGAUCAGUAGCCGGUCUGAGAGGACGGUCGGCCACACUGGAACUGAGACACGGUCCAGACUCCUACGGGAGGCAGCAGUGGGGAAUUUUUCGCAAUGGGGGCAACCCUGACGAAGCAAUGC
This 390-nucleotide ribosomal RNA is filed under the name uncultured bacterium. Its description in RNAcentral is "bacterial SSU rRNA". It matches the Rfam family "Bacterial small subunit ribosomal RNA", at positions 9 to 397 of the family's 1533-position model. The record is from RNAcentral.